Molecule: ribosomal RNA, 1123 nt
Filed under: uncultured bacterium
Lineage: Bacteria
Description: bacterial SSU rRNA
Rfam family: Bacterial small subunit ribosomal RNA
Source: RNAcentral
AUUGAUUUUAUGCUUGCAUAAAUGAUUUUUGGAUUCGGAGCGAGUGGCGAACUGGUGAGUAACACGUGGGUAACCUGCCCCGAAGCGGGGGAUAACAUUUGGAAACAAGUGCUAAUACCGCAUAAUUAGUUGGAACCGCAUGGUUCCAACUUGAAAGAUGGCUCUGCUAUCACUUUGGGAUGGACCCGCGCCGUAUUAGUUAGUUGGUGAGAUAAAAGCCCACCAAGACGAUGAUACGUAGCCGACCUGAGAGGGUAAUUGGCCACAUUGGGACUGAGACACGGCCCAGACUCCUACGGGAGGCAGCGGUAGGGAAUCUUCCACAAUGGACGAAAGUCUGAUGGAGCAACGCCGCGUGAGUGAUGAAGGUUUUCGGAUCGUAAAACUCUGUUGUUAAAGAAGAACAAGUGUUAGAGUAACUGUUAACACUUUGACGGUAUUUAACCAGAAAGCCACGGCUAACUACGUGCCAGCAGCCGCGGUAACACGUAGGUGGCAAGCGUUGUCCGGAUUUAUUGGGCGUAAAGCGAGCGCAGGCGGUUUUGUAAGUCUGCUGUGAAAGCCCUCAGCUCAACUGAGGAAGUGCAGUGGAAACUACAAAACUUGAGUACAGAAGAGGAAAGUGGAACUCCAUGUGUAGCGGUGAAAUGCGUACAUAUAUGGAAGAACACCAGUGGCGAAGGCGGCUUUCUGGUCUGUUACUGACGCUGAGGCUCGAAAGCAUGGGUAGCGAACAGGAUUAGAUACCCUGGUAGUCCAUGCCGUAAACGAUGAAUACUAGGUGUUGGAGGGUUUCCGCCCUUCAGUGCCGCAGCUAACGCAUUAAGUAUUCCGCCUGGGGAGUACGACCGCAAGGUUGAAACUCAAAGGAAUUGACGGGGGCCCGCACAAGUGGUGGAGCAUGUGGUUUAAUUCGAUGCUACGCGAAGAACCUUACCAGCUCUUGACAUCUUCUGCCAACCCAAGAGAUUGGGCGUUCCCUUCGGGGACAGGAUGACAGGUGGUGCAUGGUUGUCGUCAGCUCGUGUCGUGAGAUGUUGGGUUAAGUCCCGCAACGAGCGCAACCCUUAUUAUUAGUUGCCAGCAUUUAGUUGGGCACUCUAGUGAGACUGCCGGUGAUAAA